Molecule: ribosomal RNA, 440 nt
Filed under: uncultured bacterium
Lineage: Bacteria
Description: partial 16S ribosomal RNA
Rfam family: Bacterial small subunit ribosomal RNA
Source: RNAcentral
CCUACGGGAGGCAGCAGUGGGGGAUAUUGCACAAUGGGGGAAACCCUGAUGCAGCGACGCCGCGUGUGGGAAGACGGUCCUCUGGAUUGUAAACCACUGUCCCCAGGGACGAAGAUGACGGUACCUGGGGAGGAAGCUCCGGCUAACUACGUGCCAGCAGCCGCGGUAAUACGUAGGGAGCGAGCGUUGUCCGGAAUUACUGGGUGAAAAGGGAGCGUAGGCGGGGAUGCAAGUUGGGUGUCAAAACUACCGGCUCAACUGGUAGUCGCACUCAAAACUGCAGCUCUUGAGUGAAGUAGAGGCAGGCGGAAUGCCUGGUGUAGCGGUGAAAUGCGUAGAUAGUAGGAGGAACACCAGUGGCGAAGGCGGCCUGCUGGGCUUUUACUGACGCUGAGGCUCGAAAGUGUGGGGAGCAAACAGGAUUAGAUACCCCUGUAGUC